UACGUAGGGGGCAAGCGUUGUCCGGAAUCAUUGGGCGUAAAGCGCGUGUAGGCGGCUCGAUAAGUCUGCUGUGAAAGUCCAAGGCUCAACCUUGGGAUGCCGGUGGAUACUGUCGAGCUCGAGUCCGGAAGAGGAGUGUGGAAUUCCUAGUGUAGCGGUGAAAUGCGCAGAUAUCAGGAGGAACACCAAUGGCGAAGGCAGCACUCUGGGACGUGACUGACGCUGAGACGCGAAAGCGUGGGGAGCAAACAGG
This 253-nucleotide ribosomal RNA is filed under the name uncultured bacterium. RNAcentral describes it as "partial 16S ribosomal RNA". It matches the Rfam family "Bacterial small subunit ribosomal RNA", at positions 524 to 776 of the family's 1533-position model. The record is from RNAcentral.